Molecule: long non-coding RNA, 823 nt
Organism: Cyprinus carpio (common carp)
Lineage: Eukaryota; Metazoa; Chordata; Actinopteri; Cypriniformes; Cyprinidae
Exons: 3
Source: RefSeq, a predicted model, not a curated record
CAUGGUACCAACAAAAAGCAGAUGCUGCUCCUCAGUUUCUGCUUCGUAAUGACAUAAGAGCGAGUGAUUUACCCGACAGGUUCACUUACACUGACUCGGGCAAUCAGGAUUAUCUGACCAUCGAUGGAGUGAGAGCUGAAGAUGAAGCAGUUUAUUUCUGUGCUUGUUUUGACAGUACAGGAGAGCCACAGUGCUCCAAUCCAACAGAGCCGUCGUACAAAAACCUCCUGCAUCACCUCCUCUGAAGCGUGUGCUCAGAAACCUCCAUGACUGUGAAGAGUGGUGAAGUGUUCAGAUUACAGUGCUGAGGUUUUUGUACUGAGCUCGAACACCGUGAGCCUAUGUGUUCGCUCAAGGCACCAACCUUGUGAUAUCUGAGCGUCCGUCGUCUCCUCCGUCCCUGCUCCUGCUGGCUCCUGCUUCUCCGCUCUCUGAGGGUGAUGUCAGUGUGGUGUGUGUGGCUCAGGGCUUUUACCCUGACAGUGUCACCGUGUCCUGGUCUGAGGACAGCAGCGGCGUGACGGGUGAUGAGGUGCAGACGGCUCCGUAUCAGCGUCAGGCCGACGGCACCUUCUCCCAGACCAGCGUCCUGAAGCUCGGUAAGCAGCGCUGGAGCUCCGGGAAAACCUACACGUGCCGCCUGAGCCACCCGGCGCUUUCCACACCGCUGAGCCAGAGCACCAGCCUGAACCAGUGCAUGUAGAGAGAUCACAGAGCUGCAAUACUGUGACCAUCAAUAAACAUGCAUUAAAGAAGUCCACUUGUUCUUUACUUGCUUGCUCUAGAAAAGUAUACAAUAAUAAAGUUAUAUUGUAAUUGUUAA